This is a small RNA of Dickeya dadantii 3937, 203 nucleotides long. It matches the Rfam family "GlmZ RNA activator of glmS mRNA". Rfam says of the family: This RNA was discovered in E. coli during a large scale screen. The sraJ gene was expressed in early logarithmic phase, but its level decreased with cell growth. The record is from Rfam. Lineage: Bacteria; Pseudomonadati; Pseudomonadota; Gammaproteobacteria; Enterobacterales; Pectobacteriaceae.
GUAGAUGCUCAUUCCACCUUCUAUGCUUGCUUCGGCUUCAUAAACCUGGGAAUGACGCAGAGCCAUUUACGGUGCCUAACGUCCGAUUAUUGAUGAAGCUUGCUUCAUCGCUGUUGGACGUAACGUUGAGUGGGGCACCUUAAAGUUGUCUUUCAGACCUGAUUUUUAUUGCACGCUUGCCGCUGGUCGGUAAGCGUUUUUUU